Molecule: ribosomal RNA, 569 nt
Filed under: uncultured bacterium
Lineage: Bacteria
Description: partial 16S ribosomal RNA
Rfam family: Bacterial small subunit ribosomal RNA
Source: RNAcentral
UGGGGAAUAUUGCACAAUGGGCGCGAGCCUGAUGCAGCGACGCCGCGUGAGGGAUGACGGCCUUCGGGUUGUAAACCUCUUUCAAUAGGGACGAAGCGCAAGUGACGGUACCUAUAGAAGAAGGACCGGCCAACUACGUGCCAGCAGCCGCGGUAAUACGUAGGGUCCGAGCGUUGUCCGGAAUUACUGGGCGUAAAGAGCUCGUAGGUGGUUUGUCGCGUUGUUCGUGAAAACUCACAGCUUAACUGUGGGCGUGCGGGCGAUACGGGCAGACUAGAGUACUGCAGGGGAGACUGGAAUUCCUGGUGUAGCGGCGGAAUGCGCAGAUAUCAGGAGGAACACCGGUGGCGAAGGCGGGUCUCUGGGCAGUAACUGACGCUGAGGAGCGAAAGCGUGGGGAGCGAACAGGAUUAGAUACCCUGGUAGUCCACGCCGUAAAACGGUGGGUACUAGGUGUGGGUUUCCUUCCCUGGGAUCCGUGCCGUAGCUAACGCAUUAAGUACCCCGCCUGGGGAGUACGGCCGCAAGGCUAAAACUUAAAUGAAUUGACGGGGUCAUAGCUGUUUCCU